Molecule: long non-coding RNA, 761 nt
Organism: Tyto alba (common barn owl)
Lineage: Eukaryota; Metazoa; Chordata; Aves; Strigiformes; Tytonidae
Exons: 6
Source: RefSeq, a predicted model, not a curated record
GUGGAACUGCUAGAUGUUGGAAGGGUAAGAGGAAAAAAAGAUGCCAGGUUAGACACAAGAUAGUCACAGUGCUGAGUCUGUUAAAUAUACGGUGAAAAAGCUGACCAGAAAAGUUUUAACUGGAUGUUACACUUGAAAAGGUCAAUUGUGGUAGCACGUUUAGAUGUGCUUUCUGUUCUCUGAAGCCUACCACAUAUGGAAAUGACCACAGAACAAUGUUAACCAGAACUUAACCUGGCCUGCCCUUGUGAAUAGAACUGAUCCCAUCUCGCAGCACCCGGCUCCAAGACAAGUUUUCUCUUGCCAAAACAUUAUAACUGGAGAUUUGCAGUGGAUAUGCAGAAGCUGGACUUUGUACAGAAAAUGCAGAAUCCACACCCAGCCUGUCCUCUGGGAAAAAAGAGGUUCUUGGCAGGAAUAAAGGAAGAAACCUUUUAAUAUGGAUAGCUCACACCUGCUGACUUAAAGAGUCUUCUUCCUUAUUGAACCUCAAGCCAGCAGGGAAAAUACAGAUUGAAAGAGGUGCCUGAUAUGCCCACUGCUGGACUUGGGAUCUGCAAGGAAAGUCCUGCUGUUCAGCAGGCAAUGAGGCUUUCUUAAUCCACAAUUCAUCUUUAAUGAGAUUUCCUAACUGGUAAGACUCUACUCAACAUGUGUGAAUAACCUGCCUUUUUUCAAUGUGAUUCUAAAAUGGAUGAAAUUUAUAGGUACAGUCAAAAAACAUUGUGGGUUCGGGUUUUUUUUCCUUCUGGUCAUUUCAU